GGAAUAUAAAUCUGAUGUUUUCUUGAGUGAGUGGGGAGUUUGUUUGGAAUACUUUGUUGUUGAUUUUCUUUGCCACCCUCUACUGGAAGGACGAAGAAUAGAAUUUAAGGAAUUUUCAAUACUGCAAUGAUGAUAUAGCUCUGCUGGAUUACCGUGCCCCCUUGUUGGCAGAUGAGUGUGUGAGCUCAUUUUUCAGAGGUGAAAGAGAGAAGGCCGCUGUCCUGGAUGUGGCCUCUGCACAUUAAUAACCUGGAAUACAAGGCUGAGCUGGAGCAGAUGAUCAAAGCACUCGAGGACGAGCAGAAAUGGAGCUGUGUGACUGUAGUUGAGGUGGAGGAGUUGAAAAAGGCUGUUUCAGAACAGGACAGCGGGUACGUUCCAGGUGCCAUUUAUUUGUAUCAGAAAAGUUUUAGAUGCAAUCCAUGAUUUUAGGAUCACACAAAAAUAACCCGGUGACUAUAUGUUCUCACGAAUCCGUGCAGCUUAUUCCACCAAUAGGUGGUGGUAUUUUUUUGGAAAUCAUAGUAUCAGUUGUUUUGAAAAUACCUUUGUUCUCCAGAGAAGCUCCUGACAGAGAAAAGUUCAAACGUGAUCUAUCUGUUUGUAUUGGCACCAAAUUAUUUAACCUGGCACUGGUACACAAUGCAUUCACUUGAAAAACUUUACAGUGUACAAGUAAAGUCCAUGAACCUAAAGGAUUUUGUAAGAAAAUAUUAAAGGUGUGUGGUUACAAAUCUGCCUUUCCCUAGUUACAUCUAACCUAUCAGUUUGCCACUCCUCGAUACUCUGACCGCUAAACUUUCGAAAUUGUUAUUUACGCUGCUGUCAUGCGACAAAUAAAACACACAAACAGAU
Long non-coding RNA from Carassius carassius (crucian carp), 855 nucleotides. RefSeq lists it as uncharacterized. The record is from RefSeq and is a predicted model, not a curated record. NCBI's taxonomy places the organism in Eukaryota, Metazoa, Chordata, Actinopteri, Cypriniformes, Cyprinidae. The transcript is spliced from 3 exons.